Gopherus flavomarginatus (Mexican gopher tortoise) is the source of this 2383-nucleotide RNA transcript. It is a transcript of the gene named avidin-like, with no coding region annotated. The record is from RefSeq and is a predicted model, not a curated record. NCBI's taxonomy places the organism in Eukaryota, Metazoa, Chordata, Testudines, Testudinidae. The transcript is spliced from 6 exons.
GGAGCUCCCUGGAGCUACAAAUAGGAGCCUGAUCAGGAGCCCCAGACAUGAGCCUCCGGAAGACUCAGCUGGCAUCUGCCACUCCCAGAGACGAUGGGGAAAGUCGUCUUCUCCCUGCUCCUCGCCCUGCCUCUGGUGACCCUCGGGGCCUCUGCAGAUAAAAAGUGUGUCCUGUCUGGAUCGUGGAGGAAUGAGCUGGGCUCUAACAUGACCAUCUCUGCCGUGAACGCCGAAGGGGGAUUCACUGGUUCAUACUUGACAGCAGUGACGGCCACCAACAAACGCAUCCUGGUGUCACCCCUGAAGGGGUCCCAGAACAGCAAGAGCCAGAGGAAGCAGCCGACCUUUGGCUUCACCGUGAGCUGGACUUUCUCAAACUCAGUGACCGUCUUUGUGGGCCAGUGCUUCAUGGAUGAUAACGGGGAGGAGAGUCUGAAGACCAUGUGGCUGCUGCGCCAGGAGGUCGGAUCCCCCGGCGCCGACUGGAAAGCGACCAGGGUGGGCACAAACGUUUUCACCCGGAUCAAGUGAUUGAACGUGGGUGAAUCUGUGAGGAACGAUGGUGCCCGGUGACCCAGCAGCACCAUUACCCCACUCUGCAGCCCCAGGGCUCCUGGUUCCCACCGUCUGGAAUCGUUCUGGGCUCUCUCGAGAGCGUCUCGCCCGGUGUCAGGGCUGUUUGCUGGGCUGCAGAGGCGACGUCUCUGUCUCCAUCUCCAUCUCCCCUCGCUCUCCGGUUACCCCUCCCCCCAGAGUCGCUGCCUGUGGCCCUGAUGCUGCAGUUAAGUUCCUUUCCCAGUAAAGCUCUAGCACGAGAGGCAAAUGAGUCUCUGGUGUUUUUGAGUAGCAGCUGUGUUAAUCUGUAUCCGCAAAAAGAACAGAAGUACUUGUGGCAUCUUAGAGACUAACAAAUUUAUUUCAGCAUGAGCUUUCGUGAGCUACAGCUCACUUCAUCGGAUGCAUAGAAUGGAACACACAGACAGGAGAUAUUUAUACAUACAGAGAACAUGAAAAGGUGGAAGUACGCCUACCAACAGGAAGAGUCUAAUCAACUGAGAUGAGCUAUCUUCAGCAGGUGUUUUUAUCGCUCUUGGCUCUUGAGCUGAAGCUGUUGCUGAGCCGUGAUUCCCACCUGCCCCUCCCUGGAUUCCCUGGGAGGUGCUGGAUUCUCUCCCAUGAGCCAGGCCCUUCCUGGGACGCCCCUUGGUAGGUUCAUCCCCCUGGUUCGCUCCUUUGCUCACUGGACACUCAAUAACAGAUUUAGAAGUAGCCAUUUUUCAACAAAAAAACUUCAGAAACAGACUUCAAAUAGAAACUGCAGAGGCACAAUUCAUUGGCAAACUUAACACCAUCAAUUUGAGCUUGAAUAGGACUGGAAGUGGCUGGCUCACUACAAAAGCAAUUUUCCCUCUCUUGGUGUUGACACCUCUUCAUCAGUUAUUGGGAGUAGACCACAUCCACCCUGACUGAAUUGGCCUUCAGCAUUCCUUCUCCACUGGUAAGGUAACUCCCUUCUCUUCACGUGUCAGUGUAUUUAUGCCCGUUUCUGUCAUUUUCACUCCAUGUAUCUGAAGAAGUGGGGGUUUUACCCAUGAAAGCUUAUGCCCAAAUAAAUCUGUUAGUCUUUAAGGUGCCAUGGACUCCUCGUUGUUUUUGUGGAUACAGACUAACACAGCUACCCCCCGAUACUCCUUUGCUCACUGACCAUCACUCUGCCCAGAGGCAGCUGCUAUCAGCCUGGACUCAGUUCAGCCUCGACUUCCCUGGUGCUCUGAUCUGGGAGCCCCCAGGCGUCCCUGUUACCCCAACUCUCACCAAUUUUGCUACUGAAAUUUCCAACUCUGAGGCAGAAACUGAGGGAACAUCUAGACCUGCCUCAGUGGCCAGGUCAGAAAGGGGUCAGGCUGCGUCACGCAGCACCGACAAACACCCAGGAGACUGGGGCACCCCAGUCAUAACCUGUCAUAAACAGAUAGCUAAGGGUUAAUGUCUCUUACACCUGGAAAGAGGUAACCUGAAGCACCUGACCAGAGGACCAAUCAGGAAACCAGAUUUUUUCAGGUCUGGGUGGAGGGAAGUUUGUGUCUGAGUUCUUUGUCUUCUGCCUGUCUCUCUCUCGGCUAUGGGAGGAUUUCUGUCUCUUGCUUUCUAAUCUUCUGUUUCCAAGUUGUAAGUACAAAUAUAGUAAGGCAGUAAGGUUUCUAUUGUUUUUCUUUUGUAUUUACAUGUGUGUAGUUGCUGGAAUGUUUUGAAUUGUAUUCUUUUUGAAUAAGGCUGUUUAUUCAUAGUUCUUUUAAGCAAAUGACCCUGUAUUUGUCACCUUAAUACAGAGAGACCAUUUUUAUGUAUUUUUUUUUCUUUUUACAUAAAGCUUUCUCUUUAA